Molecule: ribosomal RNA, 499 nt
Filed under: uncultured bacterium
Lineage: Bacteria
Description: bacterial SSU rRNA
Rfam family: Bacterial small subunit ribosomal RNA
Source: RNAcentral
ACGAGCGCUGGCGGCGUGCCUAAUACAUGCAAGUCGAGCGGGGAUUAUGCUUGAUCGCUUCGGUGAGACGGCAUAUAUCCUAGCGGCGGACGGGUGAGUAACGCGUGGGUAAUCUACCUCGUAGUUCGGGAUAACAGGCCGAAAGGCUUGCUAAUACCGGAUGAGUUCAUGCUUAUGCAUAUAGGCAUGAAGAAAGGGCUAGCCCGCUAUGAGAUGAGCCCGCGUCCCAUUAGCUAGUUGGUGAGGUAAGGGCUCACCAAGGCGAAGAUGGUUAGGGGUUUUGAGAGAGAGACCCCCCACAUUGGAACUGAGAGACGGUCCAGACUCCUACGGGAGGCAGCAGUAGGGAAUAUUGGGCAAUGGGCGAAAGCCUGACCCAGCCAUGCCGCGUGAAGGAAGACGGCCUUAUGGGUUGUAAACUUCUUUACUACGCGAAUAGAGGUUAGUACGAGAUACUAAUAGGAAGGUAGUGUAGUAAAAAGCACCGGCUAACUCCGUG